RNAcentral lists this ribosomal RNA (253 nucleotides) under uncultured bacterium. Its description in RNAcentral is "partial 16S ribosomal RNA". It matches the Rfam family "Bacterial small subunit ribosomal RNA", at positions 524 to 776 of the family's 1533-position model. The record is from RNAcentral.
UACGUGGGGUGCAAACGUUGCUCGGAAUUAUUGGGCGUAAAGCGCACGUAGGCGGUUCGUUAAGUCGGAUGUGAAAGCCCUCGGCUCAACUGAGGAAGUGCACCCGAAACUGGCGAGCUUGAGUACGAAAGAGGAUCGCGGAAUUCCCGGUGUAGAGGUGAAAUUCGUAGAUAUCGGGAGGAACACCGGUGGCGAAGGCGGCGAUCUGGGUCGAUACUGACGCUGAGGUGCGAAAGCGUGGGGAGCAAACAGG